Molecule: non-coding RNA, 108 nt
Organism: Termitomyces sp. T32_za158
Lineage: Eukaryota; Fungi; Basidiomycota; Agaricomycetes; Agaricales; Lyophyllaceae
Source: the annotation of a GenBank genome assembly
AGCAGCAUGGCGCAGUUGGAAGCGCGCGGGGCCCAUAUCGGAGGAUACUCAGAGCAAAAAUUCGCAUAUCCAACCCCGAGGUCACUUGAUCGAAACAAGUUGCUGCUA